AACGAACGCUGGCGGCAGGCCUAACACAUGCAAGUCGAGCGAGAUCUUCGGGUCUAGCGGCGGUCGGGUGAGUAACGCGUGGGAAUAUGCCUCUUGGUACGGAAUAGCCUCGGGAAACUGGGAGUAAUACCGUAUGUGCCCUUUGGGGGAAAGAUUUAUCGCCAAGAGAUUAGCCCGCGUUGGAUUAGGUAGUUGGUGGGGUAAUGGCCUACCAAGCCGACGAUCCAUAGCUGGUUUGAGAGGAUGAUCAGCCACACUGGGACUGAGACACGGCCCAGACUCCUACGGGAGGCAGCAGUGGGGAAUCUUAGACAAUAGGGGCAACCCUGAUCUAGCCAUGCCGCGUGAGUGAUGAAGGCCUUAGGGUUGUAAAGCUCUUUCAGCUGGGAAGAUAAUGACGGUACCAGCAGAAGAAGCCCCGGCUAACUCCGUG
This 433-nucleotide ribosomal RNA is filed under the name uncultured bacterium. RNAcentral's name for it is "partial 16S ribosomal RNA". It matches the Rfam family "Bacterial small subunit ribosomal RNA", at positions 29 to 507 of the family's 1533-position model. The record is from RNAcentral.